Brassica oleracea var. oleracea is the source of this 107-nucleotide small nucleolar RNA. It matches the Rfam family "Plant small nucleolar RNA R71". From Rfam's summary of the family: R71 is a member of the C/D box family of snoRNAs containing the C (UGAUGA) and D (CUGA) box motifs. Multiple nearly identical copies of this snoRNA have been identified in Arabidopsis, and it is thought to function as a 2'-O-ribose methylation guide for 18S ribosomal RNA. NCBI's taxonomy places the organism in Eukaryota, Viridiplantae, Streptophyta, Magnoliopsida, Brassicales, Brassicaceae. The record is from Rfam.
AAGCAAUGAUGUGGGCAUUGAGACCAAUAGCCUUUGAACCUCUCCCAAGCUUCACUAAAGCCCUCUAGGUUCUUCUGCUGAAAGCUAGAGAUCUCAUUCCUGAUCUU